GGGGCUAUAGCUCAGCUGGUAGAGUGCUUGCCUUGCAUGCACAAGGCCCUGGGUUCGAUCCCCAGCACCAUCA
RNAcentral lists this transfer RNA (73 nucleotides) under Ictidomys tridecemlineatus (thirteen-lined ground squirrel). Its description in RNAcentral is "Spermophilus tridecemlineatus (thirteen-lined ground squirrel) tRNA". It matches the Rfam family "tRNA". Rfam says of the family: Transfer RNA (tRNA) molecules are approximately 80 nucleotides in length. Their secondary structure includes four short double-helical elements and three loops (D, anti-codon, and T loops). Lineage: Eukaryota; Metazoa; Chordata; Mammalia; Rodentia; Sciuridae. The record is from Rfam by way of RNAcentral.